Oreochromis aureus is the source of this 790-nucleotide long non-coding RNA. The record is from Ensembl. NCBI's taxonomy places the organism in Eukaryota, Metazoa, Chordata, Actinopteri, Cichliformes, Cichlidae.
CGUGUUUCACCCUCACACCUCAGCAGCAGCGUGCAAAUAAACGCACACACAUACACACACGCACAUGCACACACAUGCACACACACACGCGCACACACACACACACAUCUCUGCAUCCUGUAUUUUUUUAUGCAUCGGGAACCGGGCGCUUUAUAAGCGGUCGUGGAUUAUGAUGCCAGUUUUUAUAACAGCGGAAUAUUGGCUUCUUCUUCGACUCCAACUGUGAACAGCAGUAAAUCCCGUGCACGCGCGAGUGUGUGUGGUUUUUUUUUAAAAAAUUAUUUUAAUUUUUCAGAAUUAUUUGUAAUUUGGUUUCCACGUUACUUCUGAACGCCGAGAAACCGCCGAGCGAGACGCAAAGCCUACGUUCAAUGCAGUUGGAACAUGUCCUAUGUUCCCUUUCAAGGUUUGGCUCUAAGUUGACACAAACAUCUGCAGUGGCAGAAGAGCGGAGUAACGUGUUCCAAACUCCUUUUGACAGGGUGUGUUUUCUCUCUUUGGCUCAUCACUGGUCAUUGUGAAUGACAUUUCCCCUUCGUCUGUGCCCAGUGGCCUUACCUGUUAAAUCCGUCUCCUCCAGUGACUCCAAGGUCACUCCGGGACUUAGGUUCGAGCAAUCGUGACUGCGCCUUGCCUUAGGUUGUCCCAGGGUUUCGAGGUGGGAUCUUACCCGUCAUGGGCUGUCCAGCCUUCCAUGCCCGCCUACUACAGGAGCCAACUGGGCAAGAGUGUUAUCAGGCCUAGGGGACACACUGGUUCUGGAAAUUAAAGGAGUGUAAACUGCUUUCUU